ACUGGUUGAUCCUGCCAGUGAUCAUAUUCUUCGAUCAAAGAUUAAGCCAUGCACGUCUAAGAACCUUGAGUUACUUGAGAGUCUGCGUAUGGCUCAUUAUAUGGUUUAUAACUUCCCCUAGCACAUUUUCAUCGGAACUUCCGAGGUAAUUCAUGGGCUAACCCUGCACGAAAAGCCGCUUAGCAAUAGGCGGCUGCAUUUGUUAGUCUCAAACCAACAUUGUUGGAUGAAUCAUGACAAACUGCGGAUCCUUAUGUUGCAAAAGACGAAGGACGACUAGGAAAGGCUUACCACUUAUCAGUUUUCGAAGGAAGUAUAUGGAACUUUCUUGACUUUGACGAGUAACGGAAAAUUAGGGUUUGACUCCGGAGAAGGAGCCUGAGAGACGGCUACUACAUCUAAGGAAGGCAGCAGGCGCGCAAAUUCUUCAAUAGCCAAAUGGCUGAAAGAGUGACGAUCAAUAACAAUGCGCGACUUUUAAAGUUGUGCAAUUGGAAUGACAGCAAUUUAAAGAGUUCAAGGAGGAUCAAUUGGAGGGCAAGUCUGGUGCCAGCAGUUGCGGUAAUUCCAGCUCCAAUAGCGUAUAUUAAAGUUGUUGCAGUUAAAAAGUUCGUAGUUGAAUUUCUGGGCACGGCGGCGGUCCGCCUUACGGUGUGCACUUGCUUGCCCGUGCUCAAACCUUGCGGAGACGGCGUGUGGCCUUCACUGGUCGUGCGUUUGGAUCCGCAUCAAUUACUGUGAGCAAAUUAGAGUGUUUAAAGCGGGCGUUCGCUUGAAUACAUUAGCAUGGAAUAAUGAGAUAGGACUUUGGUGCUAUUUCGUUGGUUGCGUGCCAAAGUAAUGAUUAAUAGGGACAGUUGGGGGUAUUCAUAUUUGAUUGUCAGAGGUGAAAUUCUUGGAUUUAUCAAAGAUGAACAACUGCGAAAGCAUUUACCAAGGAUGUUUUCAUUAAUCAAGAUCGAAAGUCAGGGGAUCGAAGAGGAUUAGAUACCCUCGUAGUCUUGACCAUAAACUAUGCCGACUCAGGAUUGGCGGAGUUCUUCAAUGUCUCCGCCAGCACUGUAUGAUAAAUCAAAGUCUUUGGGUUCCGGGGGGAGUAUGGUCGCAAGGCUGAAACUUAAAGGAAUUGACGGAAGGGCACCACCAG
RNAcentral lists this ribosomal RNA (1147 nucleotides) under uncultured soil eukaryote. Its description in RNAcentral is "SSU rRNA". It matches the Rfam family "Eukaryotic small subunit ribosomal RNA", at positions 1 to 1173 of the family's 1831-position model. The record is from RNAcentral.